Camelina sativa (false flax) is the source of this 457-nucleotide non-coding RNA. The record is from RefSeq and is a predicted model, not a curated record. Lineage: Eukaryota; Viridiplantae; Streptophyta; Magnoliopsida; Brassicales; Brassicaceae.
GACAAAGACCAGCUCAUAUGCUCGCCUUAUUAAGAUUGAAUCAUUCCAAACCUUUUUGCUACUGUAGAUGCCGAGGAGCUAUCUGGUUCAAGUACUACGGAGUGCAGGGAAACCGGAUUGGAUCUUCGAAUCAUAACACGCUUUUGGACCCUCUCAAUGGACAACCUUUCAUUUAAGUCACUGAAACAGGAAAUCAGUGCAGGGAAACCGGAUUGGAUCUUCGAAUCAUAAAACGCUUUUGGAUCCUCUCAGUGGACAACCUUUCAUUAAAAUCAAUGAAACAGGAAAUCAGCCAUAUUUAUAUUUGUGGACAGCUUCUCCCAGUGCCCCCAUGCAUGGUUCUCCAGGGGAAGUGGAUUGGAUCUUCGAAUCGUAACACGCUUUUUGGAUCCUCUGAUUGGAGAGAACCUUUCAAUCUUAAAGUGGAUGCAACAGAUACCUUUUGUAUGGAGAUAUC